Molecule: transfer RNA, 74 nt
Filed under: Gomphus exilis (lancet clubtail)
Lineage: Eukaryota; Metazoa; Arthropoda; Insecta; Odonata; Gomphidae
Description: tRNA-Val
Rfam family: tRNA
About the family: Transfer RNA (tRNA) molecules are approximately 80 nucleotides in length. Their secondary structure includes four short double-helical elements and three loops (D, anti-codon, and T loops). Further hydrogen bonds mediate the characteristic L-shaped molecular structure. tRNAs have two regions of fundamental functional importance: the anti-codon, which is responsible for specific mRNA codon recognition, and the 3' end, to which the tRNAs corresponding amino acid is attached (by aminoacyl-tRNA synthetases). tRNAs cope with the degeneracy of the genetic code in two manners: having more than one tRNA (with a specific anti-codon) for a particular amino acid; and 'wobble' base-pairing, i.e. permitting non-standard base-pairing at the 3rd anti-codon position.
Source: RNAcentral
GACAGAUUAGAGCUUGAUAGAAAGCAUUCCAUUUACACUGGGAAUAUUUACUGUGCGAUUCAGUUUAAUUUGAU